UGACAUCUUAAUAGGCGCAGACAUGUU
This 27-nucleotide small RNA is filed under the name Bombyx mori (domestic silkworm). RNAcentral's name for it is "ovarian small RNA-31453". The record is from RNAcentral. Lineage: Eukaryota; Metazoa; Arthropoda; Insecta; Lepidoptera; Bombycidae.